GGUGUUUCACGCGCUUUUUGUGUUUGCAGUGUUUUUUCUAAAUUUUUCAUCAUCGGCAUUACAUUUCGAUCAAGUUUGUAGUGAUAGUCCGCUGAUGAUUUGUCAAAAACAGCAUGGAGUGCUAAAACAUGUCAGUGGAAAGCCAUUUCCUUCAGUCAAAACAAUCGUUGUUAAAGGUGGCGAUAUACUCAUUGCAGUAAAACUAUUUCCUGAGUUGUCAAGGAUUGUUGGACAGAGUGUGUCAUGCAAUUCAUUAAUUUUUGGCGAUACGAAUGAUCUCAUCACCAUUAAUGGUCAUAUGUGUUCAACCAAGACAACAUCGGACUUCCCCAGCCUGUCACCUACACAAAUCCGAUCAUCAACAUCAUCUGUUAAAACCCAGACAACCAAGACAUCAUGGAACUUGUCUAGACUGCUGACUACACAAAUACGAUAAUCAAAGUCAUCUUUUGAACACAAGAGUAAGUGAAUGUUACUAAUAUACUCACAAUGAAUAACGUUGUUGCUUUAAAAGGUACAUUGGUAAUAUUUAAUCAUAGAAAUUAUUUGUUUCCAAAAAUUAACAUAAUAUUUAAUCAUAGAAAUUAUUUGUUACCAAAAUUAUCAUAAUUUAUCAUCUUUAGUUAACAAGACAAAGAAUCUUGACUCUUUACACAAAGGUAAAUAUUCCU
This 671-nucleotide unclassified non-coding RNA is filed under the name Gigantopelta aegis. Its description in RNAcentral is "tHAP domain-containing protein 2-like, transcript variant X3". The record is from RNAcentral. Lineage: Eukaryota; Metazoa; Mollusca; Gastropoda; Neomphalida; Peltospiridae.